This 407-nucleotide ribosomal RNA is filed under the name uncultured bacterium. RNAcentral's name for it is "bacterial SSU rRNA". It matches the Rfam family "Bacterial small subunit ribosomal RNA", at positions 355 to 776 of the family's 1533-position model. The record is from RNAcentral.
UCGAGAAUCUUCCGCAAUGGGCGCAAGCCUGACGGAGCGAUGCCGCGUGAGGGAAGAAGGCCUUCGGGUUGUAAACCUCUGUCACCCGGGACGAAAUCAAUGACGGUACCGGGAGAGGAAGUCACGGCUAACUACGUGCCAGCAGCCGCGGUAACACGUAGGUGGCGAGCGUUAUUCGGAUUCACUGGGCGUAAAGGGUCCGCAGGGGGCCUGCCAAGUCUGUCGUGAAAACCCGGGGCUCAACCCCGGGCCUGCGGUGGAAACAGGCGGGCUGGAGUGAGUGAGGGGCAGACGGAACACCUGGUGUAGCGGUGGAAUGCGUGGAUAUCAGGUGGAACACCGAUGGCGAAGGCGGUCUGCUGGCACACAACUGACCCUCAGGGACGAAAGCGUGGGUAGCAAACAGG